This 253-nucleotide ribosomal RNA is filed under the name uncultured bacterium. Its description in RNAcentral is "partial 16S ribosomal RNA". It matches the Rfam family "Bacterial small subunit ribosomal RNA", at positions 524 to 776 of the family's 1533-position model. The record is from RNAcentral.
UACGUAGGGUGCAAGCGUUGUCCGGAAUUAUUGGGCGUAAAGAGCUCGUAGGCGGUCUGUUGCGUCGGCUGUGAAAACCCGGGGCUCAACUCCGGGCCUGCAGCCGAUACGGGCAGACUAGAGUUCGGCAGGGGAGACUGGAAUUCCUGGUGUAGCGGUGAAAUGCGCAGAUAUCAGGAGGAACACCGGUGGCGAAGGCGGGUCUCUGGGCCGAUACUGACGCUGAGGAGCGAAAGCGUGGGGGGCGAACAGG